AUGAACGCUGGCGGCGUGCCUAAUGCCUGCAAGUCGCGCGAACGGACGAGAAGCUUGCUUCUCUGAUGUUAGCGGCGGACGGGUGAGUAACACGUGGAUAACCUACCUAUAAGACUGGGAUAACUUCGGGAAACCGGAGCUAAUACCGGAUAAUAUUUUGAACCGCAUGGUUCAAAAGUAAAAGACGGUCUUGCUGUCACUUAUAGAUGGAUCCGCGCUGCAUUAGCUAGUUGGUAAGGUAACGGCUUACCAAGGCAACGAUGCAUAGCCGACCUGAGAGGGUGAUCGGCCACACUGGAACUGAGACACGGUCCAGACUCCUACGGGAGGCAGCAGUAGGGAAUCUUCCGCAAUGGGCGAAAGCCUGACGGAGCAACGCCGCGUGAGUGAUGAAGGUCUUCGGAUCGUAAAACUCUGUUAUUAGGGAAGAACAUAUGUGUAAGUAACUGUGCACAUCUUGACGGUACCUAAUCAGAAAGCCACGGCUAACUACGUG
Molecule: ribosomal RNA, 496 nt
Filed under: uncultured bacterium
Lineage: Bacteria
Description: partial 16S ribosomal RNA
Rfam family: Bacterial small subunit ribosomal RNA
Source: RNAcentral